This 497-nucleotide ribosomal RNA is filed under the name uncultured bacterium. RNAcentral describes it as "partial 16S ribosomal RNA". It matches the Rfam family "Bacterial small subunit ribosomal RNA", at positions 28 to 507 of the family's 1533-position model. The record is from RNAcentral.
GAUGAACGCUGGCGGCGUGCCUAAUACAUGCAAGUCGAGCGAACAGAUGAGGAGCUUGCUCCUCUGACGUUAGCGGCGGACGGGUGAGUAACACGUGGAUAACCUACCUAUAAGACUGGGAUAACUUCGGGAAACCGGAGCUAAUACCGGAUAAUAUAUUGAACCGCAUGGUUCAAUAGUGAAAGACGGUUUUGCUGUCACUUAUAGAUGGAUCCGCGCCGCAUUAGCUAGUUGGUAAGGUAACGGCUUACCAAGGCAACGAUGCGUAGCCGACCUGAGAGCGUGAUCGGCCACACUGGAAGUGAGACACGGUACAGACUCCUACGGGAGGCAGCAGUAGGGAAUCUUCCGCAAUGGGCGAAAGCCUGACGGAGCAACGCCGCGUGAGUGAUGAAGGUCUUCGGAUCGUAAAACUCUGUUAUUAGGGAAGAACAAAUGUGUAAGUAACUAUGCACGUCUUGACGGUACCUAAUCAGAAAGCCACGGCUAACUACGUG